This 274-nucleotide ribosomal RNA is filed under the name uncultured bacterium. RNAcentral describes it as "partial 16S ribosomal RNA". It matches the Rfam family "Bacterial small subunit ribosomal RNA", at positions 523 to 796 of the family's 1533-position model. The record is from RNAcentral.
AUACGGAGGGGGCUAGCGUUGUUCGGAAUUACUGGGCGUAAAGCGUACGUAGGCGGACUGAUCAGUUGGGGUUGAAAUCCCAGGGCUUAACCCUGGAACUGCCUUCAAUACUGUCAGUCUUGAGUUUGGGAGAGGUGAGUGGAAUUCCUAGUGUAGAGGUGAAAUUCAUAGAUAUUAGGAGGAACACCAGUGGCGAAGGCGGCUCACUGGCCCAUUACUGACGCUGAGGUACGAAAGCGUGGGGAGCAAACAGGAGUAGAUACCCUAGUAGUCC